RNA transcript from Myotis davidii, 610 nucleotides. RefSeq lists it as uncharacterized. The transcript is spliced from 3 exons. The record is from RefSeq and is a predicted model, not a curated record. Lineage: Eukaryota; Metazoa; Chordata; Mammalia; Chiroptera; Vespertilionidae.
CUCUUCCCUCCCCCUUCCUGGUCUGCCAAUUAGAUCUCUUCUGGGGUUCAUUUUCAGAGAGUCCCUGACCCCACGCCUCCAGCUCCCUUUCUUUCCCUGCGAUCUGUCUUCUGAACGUACUUCUAACUCACACUGUCAGCGUUUGGACCCUGGGAAGUCGAGAGGGGGGUCCAUCUUUUCCUGCAACUCCACUUGGGAAAUGCAGUGAGAACAGCUGAGAUGAUUCAUCCCAAAUCCAUGUCUAGGCAGCUAGACUUGGACUAGCCAAGAUGGAUGGGCGUGGUGUAAAGGAAUUCAUUAGCCAUGGAUGCAUUCAUGAAAGGACUGUCCAAGGCCAAGGAGGGAGUCGUGGCUGCUGCUGAGAAAACCAAACAGGGUGUGGCAGAAGCAGCAGGAAAGACAAGAGAGGGUGUUCUCUAUGUAGACUUUGAUAUGGUCCCGGGGUACCUGCCAAGAGACCUGAAAAGGAAAGGACAGAAAUGUCUUAGGUGGAGUGAUUCCCCGAGAUCACUUGACAAGCUGGAGACCAAGAGCUCAAGAAAGUACUUGAGGGCUCCUAGUUACAUCUCAGCGACAUUUAUAUAGUUCAUUUCUCAAAUGAUACACAAAA